CCGAUUCAAGGUAUUCCUUAUUUCUUUUUUUGUAUGAGUUUUCUUAUUAAUUUAAUAUGAUACUUGUUUUGUGGUUGGAUUGAUCGGUUAGGGCUUUUUUGUCCCUUUUAAUCUGCAUCUAUUCGAUUCUCAUUUCGAUUAUGAACCAAAAGAUUUGAGAGAGAUGGUCAUUCCAAUUUUCUUUUCAAUCCGCUCUUAUUUUGAUUCCGAUUCUUAUGG
Molecule: long non-coding RNA, 219 nt
Filed under: Elaeis guineensis (African oil palm)
Lineage: Eukaryota; Viridiplantae; Streptophyta; Magnoliopsida; Arecales; Arecaceae
Description: long non-coding RNA (EGUI_LNC075207)
Source: RNAcentral